GGGCCCGCACAAGCGGUGGAGCAUGUGGUUUAAUUCGAUGAUACGCGAGGAACCUUACCAGGGCUUAAAUGUAGUGGGACAGGUCUAGAGAUAGACCCUUCUUCGGACUCAUUACAAGGUGCUGCAUGGUUGUCGUCAGCUCGUGCCGUGAGGUGUCAGGUUAAGUCCUAUAACGAGCGCAACCCCUAUCGUUAGUUGCCAGCGGGUAAUGCCGGGAACUCUAGCGAAACUGCCGGUGCAAACCGAGAGGAAGGUGGGGAUGACGUCAAAUCAUCACGGCCCUUACGUCCUGGGCUACACACGUGCUACAAUGGCCGGUACAGAGAGCAGCCACUACGCGAGUAGGAGCGAAUCUAUAAAAACCGGUCUCAGUUCGGAUUAUUGACUGAAAUUCGUCUAUAUGAAGUUGGAAUCGCUAG
RNAcentral lists this ribosomal RNA (419 nucleotides) under uncultured bacterium. RNAcentral describes it as "bacterial SSU rRNA". It matches the Rfam family "Bacterial small subunit ribosomal RNA", at positions 917 to 1338 of the family's 1533-position model. The record is from RNAcentral.